This 476-nucleotide ribosomal RNA is filed under the name Lautropia mirabilis. Its description in RNAcentral is "bacterial SSU rRNA". It matches the Rfam family "Bacterial small subunit ribosomal RNA", at positions 30 to 504 of the family's 1533-position model. Lineage: Bacteria; Pseudomonadati; Pseudomonadota; Betaproteobacteria; Burkholderiales; Burkholderiaceae. The record is from RNAcentral.
AUUGAACGCUGGCGGCAUGCUUUACACUGCAGUCGAACGGCAGCGCGGGCUUCGGCCUGGCGGCGAUGGCGAACGGGUGAGUAAUACAUCGGAACGUGCCCAGUAGUGGGGGAUAGCUCGGCGAAAGCCGGAUUAAUACCGCAUACGACCUGAGGGUGAAAGCGGGGGAUCUUCGGACCUCGCGCUAUUGGAGCGGCCGAUGGCAGAUUAGCUUGUUGGUGGGGUAAAGGCCUACCAAGGCGACGAUCUGUAGCUGGUCUGAGAGGACGACCAGCCACACUGGGACUGAGACACGGCCCAGACUCCUACGGGAGGCAGCAGUGGGGAAUUUUGGACAAUGGGCGCAAGCCUGAUCCAGCAAUGCCGCGUGUGUGAUGAAGGCCUUCGGGUUGUAAAGCACUUUUGGCGGGAACGAAAAGGACUGUGCCAAUACCACGGUUCGAUGACGUACCCGCAGAAUAAGCACCGCUAAUACC